GACCGCUGUCGAAAGGCAGCUAAGGCCAGACGGACAGCCGGGUCGAAUGCCGA
RNAcentral lists this small RNA (53 nucleotides) under human gut metagenome. Its description in RNAcentral is "Streptococcus sRNA SpF59 (ldcC RNA)". It matches the Rfam family "Streptococcus sRNA SpF59 (ldcC RNA)". The record is from RNAcentral.